GAGGCCUCCUUCUCCCCAACCCGUUGUCCCAUCAGGACUUUUCAGAAUCACCUCUGGGCCCCACUCUGUCACCUCCAUGAGAACAGAUGACACCUUGUUUCAUGAUUGCUUACAUCCGUGUCCAGGCCACUUUCUAGACUCCUCCCCCGCACCCCCCCCCCCCCCCCCCAGGGACAGAACCCAUCUGCUGGGUUUUGCUCCAGCUCAAUCCCUGGGAAACGCGUGUUGAAUUUGAGUGGAAACGAGAACUCAGCAACCUUGACGUGCAUCGGUCCCUAGCUCCUGGCCUGCAAACAUCUGUACACCCCAGAGCGGCCGGGGGAGGGGGUGGGGGUGACAGGUGGAGUCCAACUGUGCUGUUGACCCCGAGCGAGCGGGACACAGAGCAAGAGAUUUAAUCUCUGUGAGAGUCUCCCUUCCCUCAACUAUAAAACAGAGCUAAUAAUAGGGCCUACCUUUCCCGACUGCUGUGAGGAUUAGCACAGGGGCUGGUAAUACACAGAGUUCAGUAAAUGCUGCUAUAAUUAUCGUUAAUCACGCGGGAUUUACGAAGCCAUUACAAGUGCACCCCGGCCAUCCGUCAGUCUCAUUCCACACACAUUUCCUGAGGACAGGGCGAGAGAAUCCAGCGGGCUCCAGGGGACCAUUCUCAAAGGGGCCUGUGAACUCAAAAAAAUAACAACAAAAGGUCAAUGCCAGAUACAACUGCCUUGGAGAGCAUGUGGCAGGACCAGAGAAAGUGGGCCCUUGAGCACAAGGCAACGUGUCUGCAAAUAUUUUUUGCAACCCUGCUUGAAAGAGCACAAUAUUGGAGGAAAGGUAAAGUGUCCCUCAUCGGAAGAAUGGGUCCAUCAACGAGAGCGUGUUCAUACACUAGAAUAUGCAACAUCUUUGCAAGGGAAAGAGCUUGAGCUCCAAGUACCCGUGCAGAUGAAACUCACAAACAAAAGCAAGCUGCAGAAGGUCACAGACGUGAUACUAUUUAUGCAACAUUUAACAACAUGCAAGGAGACCGGCUACAGCAGUUAUACAUAUAUACAUAUGUAGCAAAUGCAUUUUUAAGUUUUAUUUAUUUAUUUACUGUGAGAGUGAGGGAGCGAGAGGGAGGAGCGAGGGAGGAGCAGAGAGAGGGAGAGGGGGAAUCCCAAGCAGGCUCGGCAUUGUUAGCAAGGAGCCUGACCUCAUGAACUGCGAGACCGUGACCUGAGCAGAAACCAAGAGUCGGUCACUUAACCAACUG
This 1240-nucleotide long non-coding RNA is filed under the name Felis catus (domestic cat). Its description in RNAcentral is "lncRNA (ENSFCAG00000050824.1)". The record is from RNAcentral. Lineage: Eukaryota; Metazoa; Chordata; Mammalia; Carnivora; Felidae.